UAUAAUUUCCACCUGUUGUCUAUUCCAUUUGCACAACAGCAUGUGAAAUUUAUUGUCAAUCAGUGUUGCUUCCUAAGUGGACAGUUUGAUUUCACAGAAGUGUGAUUGACUUGGAGUUACAUUGUGUUGUUUAAGUGUUCCCUUUAUUUUUUUGAGCAGUGUAUAUGAUCGCCUCACCAGGGAAAACAAUAGGCUGUUCCAUUGACUGUUAUAUCAGUUAUUGAACCCUCAAUAAAAUGAUCUGUUUUCAUUGUGAUGCAGUCCCACUCUCACCUGAUGUGUGAUGUGAACGUACAGGGCCGGUUUCCCCAGACGCAGAUUACGCCAAAUCCUGGAAUUAAAAGCAGGAGAAUCUCCAGUGAAAUAGGUUUUUAUCCUAGCACUAGGCUUAAUCUGUGUCCAGGAAACCGGCCCGCGAUGUUGUAAAACAGUCUUUGUUUAGAAAACAAUCAUCUACUAUUAAUGGCAUGGUUAGUAGAGACUGAAAGCCUUUUGUUGGAGAGGAUUAUUAGGAUGUCUAGAACAGGUAUGUACCAUGGUGAUGGGUGGAACGGAGCAAAUGGAAUGGCUUCAAACACAUGGGAACCAUAUGUUUGAUGUAUUUGAUGCCGAUCCAGUUAUUCACCACAAGCCCGUCCUCCCCAAUUAAGGUGCCACCAACCUCCUGUGGUGCCAUGCUUGUCAUUUUUGCCCAACUGAUUAAUCGAACUGAUCAAUAACCGUGUGUGUGUGUGUGUAUGAGAGAGAUGAGGGUUAGUCAGAAAGAGAAGAGCGUAAAAGUGAUGGUUUAAACAACACUGACAGGUUCAGGGAAGCUCACUAAGGAAUGAUGGAGAAGAUUACAAUAUAACUGAAGAUUCACACUGCUUAAAGGUGAGAUCCCUUUCGGCUACUAAACCAGAGCCAUGUCUUAUGUAUCCAGCAGGUUAGCGUGAUUAACAGGGUUGGCUGUAGGAAUGAUCUAUGUGACAUUUUGGUUUGACCUUUGACCUUGUAGCCUAACGGGGCAGUUGAAGGGCACUACGAAACACGCCAGCACUGCAUGAACUUGAAACUUGAUAGUUGACUAAAAGUAGAUGUAUGAAUCUGCUAUAUUCUGAGCUAACUAAAUGGACAUAUAGUUUUUACUUAUACGGAUUGAGGUAUAUUAACGACUUAAACAUUUUAAAAUAAUCUGAAAUGUAACAGGAAUCAAAUUCAAAUUGCUGCAAUAUUGCUUUGCAAUAAGUUACAUUGGGACAAGAUGUCCCAUAACAUCUGUUCAGUCAUUUGGUGACGUGUUUUUCUUGAAGCGACUUUUAGUUUUUUUAAAUUAACUGUCUCAGUAGACAACGUAUCAAAGGAAACCACACCUGUUUGAUUAAGGUCAUUCCAUGGCACUUCCUGUAACCCCCUACUGCUCCAGGGACAGCGUUGAUAAAGGCUGACCUUGGCUUUGACCUCAGUUCUUCAGGCUGUCUCAGGGAUAUACAAGCAUUUGCAAUUCACACAAGUACACACUUGUACAAGUGUGAAAUAGGACAAAUAUAAGCACCUGCGUACCAUACUGUCGAGGUAAAUGUUAUUCAAUGUUUUCUUAAGUCAGGGGGGAAGGAAUUACCGGGAAGAUAAACAUAAAACUAAGUAAUGCUGUAACACCUGGGCUGUCAGGAGGAUUAAUAGUUGAUUACCAGAAUUUUGUCAAAUAUUCAGACUUAAAAAAAAAAAAUGCUAUGAAUCAAUAUAUAUAGUAGUGUUAGAUUGUAUUUCUAAUGUUUUGAUUUCACAUCUGUUACACUAAACAAUAAAGAAGACCACCACAGCUGUGACAGUAUGGCUGAGGUAAUUAGAGGAGAACAGACUGUGACUCAGGCAAGAAGCCCCUCAGAAUGAGCUUUUCAUUUUGUUUUUGGUGUCUUGACUUUUACUGGUUUCAGGUUCUGGAAUGUAGUAAUUUAUAGGACUCAUUUCGAUUGUAUCUGAUUUUCUCUAGGCAGAAAGCCACUGGCGUUAUCAUCAAGAGUCUUAUCGCUGUGGUCCCGUGUGCACUUACAUUGGGACUGUGAGCUUAGAAUAGUUCUGCUGGGUAUGCCUGUAGGAGGAAAGAGUGCAACAGGAAACACCAAACUGGGGAGAAAUGUCUUCACAGUAGAGGCUUCCUCUGUGUCUGUGACCAGUGUCAGUCAGAAUAUAGAGUUCUGGAUGGGACCAACAUCACCGUCAUGGAAACCCCAGGAGUAUUCAGUGAGAUGAAGGUUAGGACAGUGAAAUGCCUGGAUCUCUCUCGUCCUCAUGUUCUACUGCUGGGGAGAUUCACCGACGAGGAGAAGGAACGCUGUUAAGUGAAUCCAGGAGAGCUUUGGAUCACGGGCCCCCAAAGUUCACCAGUGUGCUGUUCACACAUAAAGACCAGUUGAAGGGUAAAGCUAUAAUGACCUUUCUGAAGAGCAGUCAAGACCUUCAGGUGCUCAAUGCUAACUGGUGGUGGAUCCAAUGUCUUCAACAUUGAAGUCAAAGGCAACAUUGGAGAAGUUAAAUGACAGCUUGAAAAUAUUGAUACAGUAUUAUACCAGAACUGGGGAUACUACUACAUGGAAGAGGCAGAAAGAAAGAGCAACGGAAGAGGCUGAGAAACAUAGGUGAAGAGCAAAGAAAGACAGUAUUUUACAACAUCCAUUUUCUGCCUUCCAGGAGGCAAAACAUUUGACAUAAAAUAUCUAGCACAACUAGCUACAUGAAUUUGUCACUUCAAACAGUAGCGGGGUGAUUAUGCAGCUACGGGCACUUCCAUGUCCUCGGGUCAAUUUUGGGGAUUUUAUCAAAAAUGAAACAAAUACACAUAUUUGUAUGUUAAGUUCACACUGGAAUCACCCCAUCAUUUUUUAAACGCCUCUAUCAAGUAUUUUAGCUACUUUUCAGAUGCAUUUUAUACCUCAAUUUCACUAUUUUGCCCUUGUCCCUGACCCAGACUUUUAAGCUUCUACUAUGUUUUUCUAUGAGAAAACAAUAAUUACACAUUAUAUAAUGUUAUGUACUACAGAAAGAGUCAAUUAAAUCAAAUCUAUAACAAUA
Non-coding RNA from Salmo salar (Atlantic salmon), 3051 nucleotides. The record is from RefSeq and is a predicted model, not a curated record. NCBI's taxonomy places the organism in Eukaryota, Metazoa, Chordata, Actinopteri, Salmoniformes, Salmonidae.